GAGUUAGAGAGCUAUGGGGUUGUUGUGGAGGCUACACGGAGAUGUGGAGUAGGAGUAGAGAGCUAUGGGGUUGUUGUGGAGGCUCUACUGAGAUGUGGCGUAACAGUAGAGAGCUAUGGGGUUGUUGUGGAGGCUCUACUGAGAUGUGGAGUAGGAGUAGAGAGCUAUGGGGUGGUUGUGGGGGCUCUACUGAGAUGUGGAGUAGGAGUAGAGAGCUAUGGGGUUGUUGUGGAGGCUCUACUGAGAUGUGGAGUAGGAGUAGAGAGCUAUGGGGUGGUUGUGGAGGCUCUACUGAGAUGUGGAGUAGGAGUAGAGAGCUAUGGGGUUGUUGUGGAGGCUACACGGAGAUGUGGAGUAGGAGUAGAGAGCUAUAGGGUUGUUGUGGAGGCUACACAGAGAUGUGAAGUAGGAGUAGAGAGCUAUGGGGUUGUUGUGGAGGCUCUACUGAGAUGUGGAGUAGGAGUAGAGAGCUAUGGGGUUGUUGGGGAGUCUCUACUGAGAUGUGGAGUAGGACUAGAGAGCUAUGGGGUUGUUGUGGAGGCUACACAGAGAUGUGGAGUAGGACUAGAGAACUAUGGGGUUGUUGUGAAGGCUACACAGAGAUGUGGAGUAGGACUAGAGAGCUAUGGGGUUGUUGUGGAGGCUCUACUGAGAUGUGGAGUAGGAGUAGAGAGCUAUGGGGUUGUUGUGGAGGCUCUACUGAGAUGUGGAGUAGCAGUAGAGAGCUAUGGGGUUGUUGUGGAGGCUACACGGAGAUGUGGAGUAGGGAGAUAUGGGGUUGUUGUGAAGGCUCUACUGAGAUGUGGAGUAGGAGUAGAGAGCUAUGGGGUUGUUGUGGAGGCUCUACUGAGAUGUGGAGUAGGAGUAGAGAGCUAUAGGGUUGUUGUGGAGGCUACACAGAGAUGUGGAGUAGGAGUAGAGAGCUAUGGGGUUGUUGUGGAGGCUCUACUGAGAUGUGGAGUAGGAGUAGAGAGCUAUGGGGUUGUUGUGGAGCCUCUUCUGAGAUGUGGAGUAGCAGUAGAGAGCUAUGGGGUUGUUGUGGAGGAUACACAGAGAUGUGGAGUAGGAGUAGAGAGCUAUGGGUUUGUUGUUGAGGCUCUACUGAGAUGUGGAGUAGCGGUAGAGAGCUAUGGGGUUGUUGUGGAGCCUACACAGAGAUGUGGAGUAGGACUAGAGAGCUAUGGGGUUGUUGUGGAGGCUACACAGAGAUGUGGAGUAGGACUAGAGAACUAUGGGGUUGUUGUGAAGGCUACACAGAGAUGUGGAGUAGGACUAGAGAGCUAUGGGGUUGUUGUGGAGGCUCUACAGAGAUGUGGAGUAGUAGUAGAGAGCUAUGGGGUUGUUGUGGAGGCUCUACUGAGAUGUGGAGUAGCAGUAGAGAGCUAUGGGGUUGUUGUGGAGGCUACACAGAGAUGUGGAGUAGGGAGCUAUGGGGUUGUUGUGGAGGCUCUACUGAGAUGUGGAGUAGGAGUAGAGAGCUAUGGGGUGGUUGUGGAGGCUCUACUGAGAUGUGGAGUAGGAGUAGAGAGCUAUGGGGUUGUUGUGGAGGCUCUACUGAGAUGUGGAGUAGGAGUAGAGAGCUAUGGGGUUGUUGUGGAGGCUCUACUGAGAUGUGGAGUAGGAGUAGAGAGCUAUGGGGUUGUUGUGGAGGCUACACGGAGAUGUGGAGUAGGAGUAGAGAGCUAUAGGGUUGUUGUGGAGGCUACACAGAGAUGUGGAGUAGGAGUAGAGAGCUAUGGGGUUGUUGUGGAGGCUCUACUGAGAUGUGGAGUAACAGUAGAGAGCUAUGGGGUUGUUGUGGAGGCUCUACUGAGAUGUGGAGUAGGAGUAGAGAGCUAUGGGGUUGUUGUGGAGGCUCUACUGAGAUGUGGAGUAGGAGUAGAGAGCUAUGGGGUUGUUGUGGAGGCUACACGGAGAUGUGGAGUAGGAGUAGAGAGCUAUAGGGUUGUUGUGGAGGCUACACAGAGAUGUGGAGUAGGAGUAGAGAGCUAUCGGGUUGUUGUGGAGGCUCUACUGAGAUGUGGAGUAGGAGUAGAGAGCUAUGGGGUUGUUGUGGAGCCUCUUCUGAGAUGUGGAGUAGCAGUAGAGAGCUAUGGGGUUGUUGUGGAGGAUACACAGAGAUGUGGAGUAGGAGUAGAGAGCUAUGGGUUUGUUGUUGAGGCUCUACUGAGAUGUGGAGUAGCGGUAGAGAGCUAUGGGGUUGUUGUGGAGCCUACACAGAGAUGUGGAGUAGGACUAGAGAGCUAUGGGGUUGUUGUGGAGGCUACACAGAGAUGUGGAGUAGGACUAGAGAACUAUGGGGUUGUUGUGAAGGCUACACAGAGAUGUGGAGUAGGACUAGAGAGCUAUGGGGUUGUUGUGGAGGCUCUACAGAGAUGUGGAGUAGUAGUAGAGAGCUAUGGGGUUGUUGUGGAGGCUCUACUGAGAUGUGGAGUAGCAGUAGAGAGCUAUGGGGUGGUUGUGGAGGCUCUACUGAGAUGUGGAGUAGGAGUAGAGAGCUAUGGGGUUGUUGUGGAGGCUCUACUGAGAUGUGGAGUAGGAGUAGAGAGCUAUGGGGUUGUUGUGGAGGCUCUACUGAGAUGUGGAGUAGGAGUAGAGAGCUAUGGGGUUGUUGUGGAGGCUCUACUGAGAUGUGGAGUAGGAGUAGAGAGCUAUGGGGUUGUUGUGGAGGCUACACGGAGAUGUGGAGUAGGAGUAGAGAGCUAUAGGGUUGUUGUGGAGGCUACACAGAGAUGUGGAGUAGGAGUAGAGAGCUAUGGGGUUGUUGUGGAGGCUCUACUGAGAUGUGGAGUAACAGUAGAGAGCUAUGGGGUUGUUGUGGAGGCUCUACUGAGAUGUGGAGUAGGAGUAGAGAGCUAUGGGGUUGUUGUGGAGGCUCUACUGAGAUGUGGAGUAGGAGUAGAGAGCUAUGGGGUUGUUGUGGAGGCUACACGGAGAUGUGGAGUAGGAGUAGAGAGCUAUAGGGUUGUUGUGGAGGCUACACAGAGAUGUGGAGUAGGAGUAGAGAGCUAUGGGGUGGUUGUGGGGGCUCUACUGAGAUGUGGAGUAGGAGUAGAGAGCUAUGGGGUUGUUGUGGAGGCUCUACUGAGAUGUGGAGUAGGAGUAGAGAGCUAUGGGGUUGUUGUGGAGGCUACACGGAGAUGUGGAGUAGGAGUAGAGAGCUAUAGGGUUGUUGUGGAGGCUACACAGAGAUGUGGAGUAGGAGUAGAGAGCUAUGGGGUUGUUGUGGAGGCUCUACUGAGAUGUGGAGUAGGAGUAGAGAGCUAUGGGGUUGUUGUGGAGGCUCUACUGAGAUGUGGAGUAGCAGUGGAGAGCUAG
This 3318-nucleotide long non-coding RNA is filed under the name Oncorhynchus kisutch (coho salmon). Its description in RNAcentral is "lncRNA (ENSOKIG00005049292.1)". Lineage: Eukaryota; Metazoa; Chordata; Actinopteri; Salmoniformes; Salmonidae. The record is from RNAcentral.